This 1747-nucleotide long non-coding RNA is filed under the name Pomacea canaliculata. RNAcentral's name for it is "uncharacterized LOC112568484". Lineage: Eukaryota; Metazoa; Mollusca; Gastropoda; Architaenioglossa; Ampullariidae. The record is from RNAcentral.
ACAUCCAAGCCAUCUGAGGUUUAAAUGCAGCCUGUGGGGGCCCACGUGUGCCGGAAUGGAUCUGAUCCGUGACCAGGUGGACCUACCUGAGAUGAAGGUGGGCGACUACCUGUGUGUCCGUAACAUGGGUUACUACACCACCAGCUUGUACAGCGGCUUCAAUGGCAUGCCCAUGCCUGAGGUCUUCCUUUACUGUGCUGAAGACAUCUGGCUGCGCGUGUUUCCCGAGAAGAAGAGACCCCAUCCCACAGGUUCUCUGUGUCUGCUGACUUAAUUUACAAUCUGGAUUCAUAGACAGAUGACCACUGUGAACGCACACGGCAAAAUUAUCCAUACAAACUUUUUCUUAAAAACCAGUUUCUAGAUAUGAAAUGAUUUUAUUAAUUGUUUUAAACAAAUAAACUGUUUGGCUAAGCUUGCAUUGUAAAUGUUUGCCUCGAUCAUCGUUUUCGAUGUUUUUAGAGACCUUAUACUUGUUGGGACACAACUCCUUAUUUUGUUUCGUAUCUGUAAUUUGAUAAUAAAAAAGGGGGGAAACAUUGUUGUAUUUAUUAUAUUUUACUUGUCUUUCAUUUUCAUGAUACCCAAAUCUACCCAAUCUACGCAAAAUAUGUAAAACUUUGUAAUACAAUUGUUGUUAAUAUUAAUGUUUAAAUGAAGCUUUUGUUUGGGUGGAGUGAAUAACUACCUCUAUAUUUUGUUAAGGAACCGUAAAUUUUCUUUACAGGCUUUGUGUGUGUGGCACGGGGAAAAAAAUAAGAUUUAAUAUAUUUCACUAUAGGAACAUGGUAAAAGAGUUUCUUUGUAGGAGUCACUCCGUUGUGAAUUCAAAUAUAUUGUUUUUAUUUUGUAUUGUUUUUUAUGAUGUACUUUUAUUUUGUCUCAUUUUAUUUGUUCCCUUUUGUAUUGUAAGGCUUUUGUACUUUGUUCUCCAGUUUUUGCUUUUCAUUGUCUUGAUAUUGUAGUUGGUAUUAUAUUUUUAUUAAUUAUUUAUAUUUUUAUAUUUGUAUUAUAUUUCAUUAUGUAUUUUGAGAACUCUCUUCAGGAGGUAUGUGCUUUUAAGUUUUUACCUGUUUUUGAAAUUACAUUUGUUCACAUAAAAAGCUGUUUUCCUUUGCUAAACGAAGUUGAUAAAAAUCAGCUACAAUACUGCUAAAAUAGACUGUUCUAUAAAGUAAUAAAUGCAUAAUGGACGGAAACACAACACAAAAUAUUAGAUAGAAACAGAAGAAAAGAUGAAAAAUGAGUAGGAAUAAAUGAAACGAAAGACAUUCUAAAUCUCAGACAACAUCUUUAUAUAUCUAUGGACACUUAAGGAAGAAGAUUCCUAAGUAGUAAUCAACAGUUUGAACAAAAUGUUAGUAAAAAUACUCAAUAUUUGUACUUAGCAAUAUAAAAAAAUGAUAGCGCUUUAAAAUAGAUACUUGGGUAUUACAAAUUUCUCCAAAGUCGGCUUUAAUAAGAAAUUUUCAAACAACUAUUACAUACAGUUAUCUUUUUUUAAAUGUUUGCUGUAUUGUAGAUUGUUUGCUUUGCUUUUAGUCAAACUACGCAUGCGCAGUCUCAUCCAUGUUGGAAGAUUCCUGUUAUGUUUGUCAUUUAAGGGACUUCUCUUCGUAACUGAUUCAGGAAAUGGAAGUUUGUCUUUUGGAUUCAGUUUUCCUAUUCAGGUUAAAUCAAUUUUACCCAAUAGUCAUCAAUUUCGUUUCUAAAUAAAUUUUUCUGUUUAAAGUUUGAAAGAAAAAAA